RNAcentral lists this transfer RNA (68 nucleotides) under Marmota monax (woodchuck). RNAcentral's name for it is "tRNA.Thr". The record is from RNAcentral. Lineage: Eukaryota; Metazoa; Chordata; Mammalia; Rodentia; Sciuridae.
GGAUUGUGGCUCAGCGAUAGAGCACUUGCCUAGUGCGUGCGAGGCCCUGGGUUUGAUUCUCAGCACCA